AGAGUUUGAUCCUGGCUCAGGACGAACGCUGGCGGCGUGCCUAAUACAUGCAAGUCGAGCGGACUUUAAAAGCUUGCUUUUAAAGUUAGCGGCGGACGGGUGAGUAACACGUGGGCAACCUGCCUGUAAGACUGGGAUAACUUCGGGAAACCGGAGCUAAUACCGGAUAAUCCUUUUCCUCUCAUGAGGAAAAGCUGAAAGACGGUUUACGCUGUCACUUACAGAUGGGCCCGCGGCGCAUUAGCUAGUUGGUGAGGUAACGGCUCACCAAGGCGACGAUGCGUAGCCGACCUGAGAGGGUGAUCGGCCACACUGGGACUGAGACACGGCCCAGACUCCUACGGGAGGCAGCAGUAGGGAAUCUUCCGCAAUGGACGAAAGUCUGACGGAGCAACGCCGCGUGAGUGAUGAAGGUUUUCGGAUCGUAAAACUCUGUUGUUAGGGAAGAACAAGUACAAGAGUAAC
RNAcentral lists this ribosomal RNA (465 nucleotides) under Bacillus sp. D-14-25-2. RNAcentral's name for it is "bacterial SSU rRNA". It matches the Rfam family "Bacterial small subunit ribosomal RNA", at positions 8 to 465 of the family's 1533-position model. Lineage: Bacteria; Bacillati; Bacillota; Bacilli; Caryophanales; Bacillaceae. The record is from RNAcentral.